RNAcentral lists this ribosomal RNA (253 nucleotides) under uncultured bacterium. Its description in RNAcentral is "partial 16S ribosomal RNA". It matches the Rfam family "Bacterial small subunit ribosomal RNA", at positions 524 to 776 of the family's 1533-position model. The record is from RNAcentral.
UACGUAGGGUGCAAGCGUUGUCCGGAAUCAUUGGGCGUAAAGCGCGUGUAGGCGGCCCGGUAAGUCCGCUGUGAAAGUCCAGGGCUCAACCCUGGGAUGCCGGUGGAUACUGUCGGGCUCGAGUCCGGAAGAGGCGAGUGGAAUUCCUGGUGUAGCGGUGAAAUGCGCAGAUAUCAGGAGGAACACCAAUGGCGAAGGCAGCACUCUGGGACGUGACUGACGCUGAGACGCGAAAGCGUGGGGAGCAAACAGG